CCUACGGGAGGCUGCAGUGGGGAAUAUUGCACAAUGGGGGAAACCCUGAUGCCGCGACGCCGCGUGAAGGAAGAAGUAUUUCGUUAUGUACACUUCUAUCAGCAGGGAAGAAAAUUACUGUACCUGACUAAGACGCCCCGGCUAACUACGUGCCAGCCGCCGCGGUACUACGUAGGGGGCAAGCGUUAUCCGGAUUUACUGGGUGUAAAGGGAGCGUAGGCGGUUCAGCAAGUCAUACGUGAAAGCCCGGGGCUCAACUCCGGGACUGCUUUUGAAACUGUUGAACUAGAUUGCAGGAGAGGUAAGUGGAAUUCCUAGUGUAGCGGUGAAAUGCGGAGAUAUUAGGAGGAACACCAGUGGCGAAGGCGGCUUACUGGACUGUAAAUGACGCUGAGGCUCGAAAGCGUGGGGAGCAAACAGGAUUAGAUACCCUUGUAGUC
This 440-nucleotide ribosomal RNA is filed under the name uncultured bacterium. RNAcentral describes it as "partial 16S ribosomal RNA". It matches the Rfam family "Bacterial small subunit ribosomal RNA", at positions 338 to 795 of the family's 1533-position model. The record is from RNAcentral.